AUUGAACGCUGGCGGCAUGCUUUACACAUGCAAGUCGAGCGGCAGCGCGGGCUUCGGCCUGGCGGCGAGUGGCGAACGGGUGAGUAAUACAUCGGAACGUGCCCAGUAGUGGGGGAUAGCUCGGCGAAAGCCGGAUUAAUACCGCAUACGACCUGAGGGUGAAAGCGGGGGAUCUUCGGACCUCGCGCUAUUGGAGCGGCCGAUGGCAGAUUAGCUAGUUGGUGGGGUAAAGGCCUACCAAGGCGACGAUCUGUAGCUGGUCUGAGAGGACGACCAGCCACACUGGGACUGAGACACGGCCCAGACUCCUACGGGAGGCAGCAGUGGGGAAUUUUGGACAAUGGGCGAAAGCCUGAUCCAGCAAUGCCGCAUGUGUGAUGAAGGCCUUCGGGUUGUAAAGCACUUUUGGCGGGAACGAAAAGGACUGUGCCAAUACCACGGUUCGAUGACGGUACCCGCAGAAUAAGCACCGGCUAACUACGUG
RNAcentral lists this ribosomal RNA (484 nucleotides) under uncultured bacterium. RNAcentral describes it as "partial 16S ribosomal RNA". It matches the Rfam family "Bacterial small subunit ribosomal RNA", at positions 29 to 507 of the family's 1533-position model. The record is from RNAcentral.